Molecule: ribosomal RNA, 412 nt
Filed under: uncultured bacterium
Lineage: Bacteria
Description: bacterial SSU rRNA
Rfam family: Bacterial small subunit ribosomal RNA
Source: RNAcentral
GUGCCAGCAGCCGCGGUAAUACGUAGGUGGCAAGCGUUGUCCGGAAUUAUUGGGCGUAAAGCGCGCGCAGGCGGGAUGGUAAGUCUAACUUAAAAGUGCGGGGCUCAACUCCGUGAGGGGUUGGAAACUACCAUUCUUGAGUGCAGGAGAGGAAAGUGGAAUUCCUAGUGUAGCGGUGAAAUGCGUAGAUAUUAGGAGGAACACCAGUGGCGAAGGCGACUUUCUGGACUGUGUCUGACGCUGAGGCGCGAAAGCCAGGGGAGUGAACGGGAUUAGAUACCCCGGUAAUCCUGGCCGUAAACGAUGGGUACUAGGUGUAGGAGGUAUCGACCCCUUCUGUGCCGGAGUUAACGCAAUAAGUACCCCGCCUGGGGAGUACGGCCGCAAGGUUGAAACUCAAAGGAAUUGACGG